AUUAGUUAAAAGCAAACCUUUCGAAAGACUGGGACGCAAAGCUACAGGUCUAAGGUUUUAAACUAUGAUCGCUGGGUUGCCUAA
RNAcentral lists this non-coding RNA (84 nucleotides) under Bacillus sp. (in: firmicutes). RNAcentral describes it as "Bacillus sp. c-di-GMP sequence". It matches the Rfam family "c-di-GMP-I riboswitch aptamer". Rfam says of the family: GEMM was predicted in a large-scale screen for bacterial structured RNA regulatory elements. Genes associated with GEMM are involved in a diverse array of functions, including chemotaxis regulation, signal transduction, secretion and chitin. Lineage: Bacteria; Bacillati; Bacillota; Bacilli; Caryophanales; Bacillaceae. The record is from RNAcentral. RNAcentral also lists the same sequence under 1 other name.